GACGAACGCUGGCGGCGUGCUUAACACAUGCAAGUCGAACGGAAAGGCCCUGCUUUUGUGGGGUGCUCGAGUGGCGAACGGGUGAGUAACACGUGAGUAACCUGCCCUUGACUUUGGGAUAACUUCAGGAAACUGGGGCUAAUACCGGAUAGGAGCUCCUGCUGCAUGGUGGGGGUUGGAAAGUUUCGGCGGUUGGGGAUGGACUCGCGGCUUAUCAGCUUGUUGGUGGGGUAGUGGCUUACCAAGGCUUUGACGGGUAGCCGGCCUGAGAGGGUGACCGGCCACAUUGGGACUGAGAUACGGCCCAGACUCCUACGGGAGGCAGCAGUGGGGAAUAUUGCACAAUGGGCGGAAGCCUGAUGCAGCAACGCCGCGUGCGGGAUGACGGCCUUCGGGUUGUAAACCGCUUUCAGCAGGGGCGAAGCUUGUGGUGACGGUACCUGCAGAAGAAGCACCGGCUAACUACGUG
RNAcentral lists this ribosomal RNA (469 nucleotides) under uncultured bacterium. RNAcentral's name for it is "partial 16S ribosomal RNA". It matches the Rfam family "Bacterial small subunit ribosomal RNA", at positions 28 to 507 of the family's 1533-position model. The record is from RNAcentral.